UUGUGGAUGAGCCCGCGGCCUAUCAGCUUGUUGGUGGGGUAAUGGCCUACCAAGGCGAUGACGGGUAGCCGGCCUGAGAGGGCGACCGGCCACACUGGGACUGAGACACGGCCCAGACUCCUACGGGAGGCAGCAGUGGGGAAUAUUGCACAAUGGGCGAAAGCCUGAUGCAGCGACGCCGCGUGAGGGAUGACGGCCUUCGGGUUGUAAACCUCUUCACCAGGGACGAAGCUAAAGUGACGUACUGCAGAUUGAUUCAUCGC
This 263-nucleotide ribosomal RNA is filed under the name uncultured Actinomycetales bacterium. RNAcentral's name for it is "partial 16S ribosomal RNA". It matches the Rfam family "Bacterial small subunit ribosomal RNA", at positions 219 to 480 of the family's 1533-position model. The record is from RNAcentral. Lineage: Bacteria; Bacillati; Actinomycetota; Actinomycetes; Actinomycetales.